GCCGGGCGCGGUGGCGCGUGCCUGUAGUCCCAGCUACUCGGGAGGCUGAAGUGGGAGGAUCGCUUGAGCCCAGGAGUUCUGGGCUGUAGUGCGCUAUGCCAAUAGGGUUCGGCAUCAAUAUGGCGACCUCUCAGGAGUGGGGGACCACCAGGUUGCCUAAGGAGGGGUGAACCGGCCCAGGUCAGAAACGGAGCAGGUCAAAACUCCCGUGCUGAUCAGUAGUGGGAUCGCGCCUGUGAAUAGCCACUGCACUCCAGCCCGGGCAACACAGCGAGACCUCGUCUCCU
Molecule: signal recognition particle RNA, 287 nt
Filed under: Cebus imitator (Panamanian white-faced capuchin)
Lineage: Eukaryota; Metazoa; Chordata; Mammalia; Primates; Cebidae
Description: Metazoan signal recognition particle RNA (ENSCCAG00000006001.1)
Rfam family: Metazoan signal recognition particle RNA
About the family: The signal recognition particle (SRP) is a universally conserved ribonucleoprotein.
Source: Rfam by way of RNAcentral